Molecule: non-coding RNA, 326 nt
Organism: Pelobates cultripes (western spadefoot toad)
Lineage: Eukaryota; Metazoa; Chordata; Amphibia; Anura; Pelobatidae
Source: the annotation of a GenBank genome assembly
CUGCUUGCAAGACAGAAUUUAACUUUUAUUAUUGCACAAGAGGAAGUGCUCGCAAAUGAGGCUGCAUAUGUCCAUUCAAAAGAGAUACAAUCCUCCUCCAGCAAAGAGAACUCACCUGAAAUAAAUCUAGUGAAGAAGACUGAUGUUAAAUCAAAAGACUUUUCACCAUGCACUGAUGUCACAGCUCCAUUUAACCCCUUAAGGACCAAACUUCUGGAAUAAAAGGGAAUCAUGACAUGUCACACAUGUCAUGUGUCAUAAGGGGUUAAAGGAACUUGUUAUAGUUGCGGUGGAAAACACAGGCGUAAUACAUAUCAUUUUCGAAA